This 301-nucleotide ribosomal RNA is filed under the name uncultured bacterium. Its description in RNAcentral is "partial 16S ribosomal RNA". It matches the Rfam family "Bacterial small subunit ribosomal RNA", at positions 509 to 807 of the family's 1533-position model. The record is from RNAcentral.
CAGCAGCCGCGGGAAUACGAAGGGGGCUAGCGUUGCUCGGAAUGACUGGGCGUAAAGGGCGCGUAGGCGGUCUAUACAGUCAGAUGUGAAAUUCCUGGGCUCAACCUGGGGACUGCAUUUGAUACGUAUGGACUUGAGUGGAGAAGAGGGUCGUGGAAUUUCCAGUGUAGAGGUGAAAUUCGUAGAUAUUGGAAAGAACACCGGUGGCGAAGGCGGCGACCUGGUCUUUAACUGACGCUGAGGCGCGAAAGCGUGGGGAGCAAACAGGAUUAGAUACCCCUGUAGUCCCUGUCUCUUAUAC